AGAGACAGCAGUAGCCGCGGGAAUACGUAGGUGGCAAGCGUUGUCCGGAAUUAUUGGGCGUAAAGCGCGCGCAGGCGGAUCAGUCAGUCUGUCUUAAAAGUUCGGGGCUUAACCCCGUGAUGGGAUGGAAACUGCUGAUCUAGAGUAUCAGAGAGGAAAGUGGAAUUCCUAGUGUAGCGGUGAAAUGCGUAGAUAUUAGGAAGAACACCAGUGGCGAAGGCGACUUUCUGGACGAAAACUGACGCUGAGGCGCGAAAGCCAGGGGAGCGAACGGGAUUAGAUACCCGCGUAGUCCCUGUCUCUUAUACA
This 309-nucleotide ribosomal RNA is filed under the name uncultured bacterium. RNAcentral describes it as "partial 16S ribosomal RNA". It matches the Rfam family "Bacterial small subunit ribosomal RNA", at positions 504 to 809 of the family's 1533-position model. The record is from RNAcentral.